Molecule: long non-coding RNA, 534 nt
Organism: Pollicipes pollicipes
Lineage: Eukaryota; Metazoa; Arthropoda; Thecostraca; Pollicipedomorpha; Pollicipedidae
Exons: 3
Source: RefSeq, a predicted model, not a curated record
GCGGUCGCGCCGCGUCCGACACUGUUGACGGGCGCAGUCGGGCGGCGGCAGUGUCGGCCGGCGCCGACAGUCGACAGCCGCCGGGUGCCGACAAGAGGAGACCGCCGGGCGCCAAGGCGUCACUCAGACUGCACAUCACCGAGCGGAAGAGUCGCCCCGGCAGUGCCCAGCCGGUGGGCGCCAGAGGCGCAGCCGAUGCGGUGGACAAGGGUCGGGGAAGGAGUCCGUCUCGGCCGCGGGCGGCGCUGUCACUGUGUCAGCAGCCAGGCACCGUGUCGCCAGCUGGCCCGGGCCCGCCCAAGGUCAGCCGGAGGCCACAGGAUGGCGCUCCAGCAGGGUCCGCAAAGGCAAGAGCCGCCUCCGCGGACUCCAACGGGUCGCGUGCCGGGCUCAGGCCCGUCGGCGCUGGCCCGGCUGCUGACACUGCGCCCCCGAAAGACGGCAGCAGAGCCGACGCGGUCGCGGCAGACGCAAAGAGCGUGGCAGAGGAAGCCGUCGUCGCCACCCAGAUGCCGGCGGCCGGCAGCCCGCAGG